This 82-nucleotide non-coding RNA is filed under the name Orrella dioscoreae. RNAcentral describes it as "Glycine riboswitch aptamer". It matches the Rfam family "Glycine riboswitch aptamer", at positions 9 to 86 of the family's 94-position model. Rfam says of the family: This family represents the bacterial glycine riboswitch. Glycine riboswitches usually consist of two metabolite-binding aptamers domains with similar structures in tandem. RNAcentral also lists the same sequence under 1 other name. The record is from Rfam by way of RNAcentral. Lineage: Bacteria; Pseudomonadati; Pseudomonadota; Betaproteobacteria; Burkholderiales; Alcaligenaceae.
AUCUGGAGAGAGGCGCCUUGCGCGCCCACCGAAGGGGAAGCCGCGCUGCCGCGCGGUGAAGCUCUCAGGUAACGGGACAGAU